GAAUUUCAUCAGAUUUCUCCAUAGGUUCUUCUUAUGGAAGCUUCGUUACACCCAAAUGAAGAAGAGCGACGAACAGAGAUCUGAUCUAAAAGUUUCACCGUAUUAGGGUUUGGGGACCGCAGAUCUAAAAGUUUCAACAACAAAUCUAACCUUAGGGUUGUCGAGUGGUCGGAAUGGCCAACUUAACCAGACAACCACCAUCA
RNAcentral lists this long non-coding RNA (203 nucleotides) under Helianthus annuus (common sunflower). Its description in RNAcentral is "sRNA HanXRQr2_Chr01g0001781". Lineage: Eukaryota; Viridiplantae; Streptophyta; Magnoliopsida; Asterales; Asteraceae. The record is from RNAcentral.